GAGAUGCCAUUCUAUGU
RNAcentral lists this unclassified non-coding RNA (17 nucleotides) under Mus musculus (house mouse). RNAcentral's name for it is "oocyte_clustered_small_RNA14223". The record is from RNAcentral. Lineage: Eukaryota; Metazoa; Chordata; Mammalia; Rodentia; Muridae.